This is a long non-coding RNA of Oncorhynchus gorbuscha (pink salmon), 1268 nucleotides long. RefSeq lists it as uncharacterized. NCBI's taxonomy places the organism in Eukaryota, Metazoa, Chordata, Actinopteri, Salmoniformes, Salmonidae. The record is from RefSeq and is a predicted model, not a curated record. The transcript has 2 exons.
UGGGUAUCUGCUUCUAUAAACCAAUGAGGAGAUGACUCGUGGGUAUCUGCUUCUAUAAACCAAUAAGGAGAUGGGAGAGGCAAUAAUUGAAUAACAUGUAUGUGUACAUUUAUUUUGCAACGCUCGCACACACGGCACAAGUGGUGUAGUCAGCAUGUUAGAAUGUUUGUUAUUGUACAGAAGCUUACUAUACAUUUUUAUCAACGUUAAGGCCUAUUGUGUUCUGGUAGUCCCUAUCUGCUGUCCUUAGCCUGUUUUGUUAAUGGCCACGUUCCAGAGCCGACUACAUUAGGUUCUAGAGCCGACUACAUUAGGUUCCAGAGCCGACUACAUUAGGUUCCAGAGCCGACUACAUUAGGUUCCAGAGCCGACUACAUUAGGUUCCAGAGCCGACUACAUUAGGUUCCAGAGCCGACUACAUUAGGUUCCAGAGCCGACUACAUUAGGUUCCAGAGCCGACUACAUUAGGUUCCAGAGCCGACUACAUUACAGACGCCUACCAGAUCUCACAACACCUGAAUAGGUGAUUAACAUAUCAGCUGAUCACAUUCUAUGAUCUAACAAUCUGAUUGAUGCCUAACUACGUAGUCGAUGAGGUGGCUCACAACCAUUGGUUGGUGGUUGAUGAAAUGCAACACCUGGAAUGUAGGUGGCCUGGAACGUGGCCGGUGUCGCUGAAUUUAUGUUAAAGGUACUGGGUGUCUUAAUAAAUUGUAACCACUAUGACCACUAUGUCUAUCACAUAGGCCCAUCUCUCGUUGGUAGCCCUGAGUACAUUAUUUGUCCUCAUUUGUCAUUGUUUUGUCUGUAAUCUAGAUUAUAAUUAUUUUUACUUCACAGUAUGUAUCCCCUGUAUCAAAAGUGAUUUACAAAUACAUUUUGUGGAUGCUGGUCUGUACAUUCGAUGAUAGGAACGGACGUUUUUUUUAGGAUAUGUUUUUAUAUGGAAAUACAUACAGUACUAUGAUUAUUUUUGAAUUUACCCAAAAGGAUAAAACACAUUUUUUAUUGUCGCUCUUUUGACACAGUCCUCUGACGGUAAAUCAAUUCCACCGUCUUUAAAAAAGGAAUUUUGAGAAAACCGGAAUAUUUUUUCUUCUUCAUACAAAUCCACAUUUGACAUGUAUAACAGAAACAUACGUAAGUGCCUACAAUGAUUAUGCAGUUGUGCUACAUUUUCCUCAAAGAGGAUAAACAACAGAAUUGAAUGAGUCUGAAAUGUGUAUUCUUGUGUUCACACUGAAAUAAAGUAUAACAAUUUAAUCAGA